UGACAAGGGGGAAUAACAUGGC
Molecule: unclassified non-coding RNA, 22 nt
Filed under: Mus musculus (house mouse)
Lineage: Eukaryota; Metazoa; Chordata; Mammalia; Rodentia; Muridae
Description: oocyte_clustered_small_RNA5404
Source: RNAcentral